Molecule: long non-coding RNA, 1789 nt
Filed under: Musa acuminata (dwarf banana)
Lineage: Eukaryota; Viridiplantae; Streptophyta; Magnoliopsida; Zingiberales; Musaceae
Description: long non-coding RNA (MACU_LNC004437)
Source: RNAcentral
AUGGUGAAAGAAUUGUCAUAUAGUUUCGCAAACAAUGCCGAAAAGCAAUCAUCACUUUGUCUCUAACUUUGGCAGCAUACAGAAAGCACCUAAACCUUUUCCACCGCAGGAAAGACGUUCUUUUUCCGACUCUAAAAGAACACACCUUUAAGCACAAAACAGAAAACUUUUCUUGGUCACUGUGUCUCAAAGGAAUCGUCUCAUCUAUCGACUCAGCUGCUUGUAUUCCUCUCAGCGUCGUUUCUUCUUUUGACAAGUUAUUGAUAUGCUGCUCUGAUAUACGAAUGAAUGACACAAGUGAUUUCGCAUUCACAGGAAGAAGGAUGGGUCGUGUGUCGCGCAUUCAAGAAACGAGCCACUUGCCCUGCGAGGAGCGUGGCCGCCAUUUGGAACUCCGGCUACUGCUACGAUGAGCUCGACAGGAUGAACUCCAUGGUUAAUCCGAUGAUGUGCCUACAGAAGCAACCCAUGAGUUUGCAGUGCAAGCAAGAGACUGAAUUCGAGGAGCUGCAUCUCUUACACCCCUCCCAGUUCGUGCAGCUGCCCCAGCUGGAGAGCCCAUCCCUGCCUCUGGUGAGUCAACCCAGCUCGAAGAUGACGGUGUUGGAGAAAGAGGACGAGCAGCAACAGCAGCAAGCGGGGAUGUCGAGCGGCAUGGGGAGUGUGACAGACUGGAGGGCGCUCGACAAGUUCGUGGCGUCGCAGUUGAGCCACGAGGGUGGCAGUUUCGUGAGCGAACAGGUGGUCUCGGAUUUUGGUGUAGAUAAUGACUCGGAGAUGGCACUGCUGUUGCUUCAAAGCGAGAGGGAAGGCUUCAACGAGUUCAUCGGCUCAGGCGAACCUGACUGCGACAAAGGCAUCUGUAUAUUUGAGCAAUGAAUCUGCUGAUGUAUAAGGAGCAGCAUAAGGUGUUUGAUCCAACCCCUGCCAUUUCUUCUUCUUCUUCUUCUUCUUAAUAUGUAAGCUUUGGAUUGGCUAUCGCUGAGCUUUUCUUGUAUAAAGAUUUAAAUGAAGCUCCUUGCCUUGUUUAUCUAUACCUUUUGUCUGGUGCACGAAGAUCUGAAGAGAUAUUGAUAAGUAUUAUGAAAAAUAUUUACAAGAAUUAUGAAAAUUGGACAGAGGAAUAAAUCAUACAAACGCUAAGCCAAAAAAUAAUAAUAAUAAAGUCAAGAUAAAACAAUGUCAGAGUACAAAGCACGCACGCCAUAAAUGCAAAUUCAAGGGGGGCUUUGAAGACCUCUCAGAAAAAGCAAAACGUAGAAUCUCUCGUACAAGAAUUGUAGUACAGCUUAUGGAUUUAUCAUCAUAGCAGAAACUUUAAAGCAUAUGUACUCCUGUCUCGGUCUUUUUCACAAGGAAAAGAACUUACCGGUCAUCGGAGUACUCUUGAAAGCCGUGGCGAAUAGCCGACGCGCCAUCACCCUUAAUCGGCAAAUACAAAGAAAGGAAAUGUGAUUCGUCAACCCUAACAACAUGGGACAUGUGAUUGAUUCAUCGAUCAAUCUGAGAGUCCAUCGAAACCAAGAAAAGGAAAACUAAUCCAUCUUACGAGCGAAAUCGCCCGUCAGGACCAAUUCCGCCCGCAAUCUCUGCAAACAGCACCACGGAAUGAGUAAGGGCCGGUGGCAAUCGCCAGGGGCGACCUGAUCAUCGGACCGGAGGAUUACCUGAAGUUCUUGGAGGACGGAGGCGUGAUGGGGCCGCCGCCGCCGUCUCUCUUGGCACCUCCAUCACGGACAAUCUCGCACGGGGGGAUGUGGGAAGCAGAGAGCGGACGAGAACGGGAUGU